This 253-nucleotide ribosomal RNA is filed under the name uncultured bacterium. RNAcentral's name for it is "partial 16S ribosomal RNA". It matches the Rfam family "Bacterial small subunit ribosomal RNA", at positions 524 to 775 of the family's 1533-position model. The record is from RNAcentral.
UACGUAGGUGGCAAGCGUUGUCCGGAAUUAUUGGGCGUAAAGCGCGCGCAGGCGGCCUCUUGAGUCUGAUGUGAAAGCCCCCGGCUCAACCGGGGAGGGCCAUUGGAAACUGGGAGGCUUGAGUAUAGGAGAGAAGAGUGGAAUUCCACGUGUAGCGGUGAAAUGCGUAGAGAUGUGGAGGAACACCAGUGGCGAAGGCGACUCUUUGGCCUAUAACUGACGCUGAGGCGCGAAAAGCGUGGGGAGCAACAGG